Molecule: ribosomal RNA, 484 nt
Filed under: uncultured bacterium
Lineage: Bacteria
Description: partial 16S ribosomal RNA
Rfam family: Bacterial small subunit ribosomal RNA
Source: RNAcentral
AUUGAACGCUGGCGGCAGGCCUAACACAUGCAAGUCGAGCGGAUGAAGGGAGCUUGCUCCUGGAUUCAGCGGCGGACGGGUGAGUAAUGCCUAGGAAUCUGCCUGGUAGUGGGGGAUAACGUCCGGAAACGGGCGCUAAUACCGCAUACGUCCUGAGGGAGAAAGUGGGGGAUCUUCGGACCUCACGCUAUCAGAUGAGCCUAGGUCGGAUUAGCUAGUUGGUGGGGUAAAGGCCUACCAAGGCGACGAUCCGUAACUGGUCUGAGAGGAUGAUCAGUCACACUGGAACUGAGACACGGUCCAGACUCCUACGGGAGGCAGCAGUGGGGAAUAUUGGACAGAGGGCGAAAGCCUGAUCCAGCCAUGCCGCGUGUGUGAAGAAGGUCUUCGGAUUGUAAAGCACGUUAAGUUGGGAGGAAGGGCAGUAAGUUAAUACCUUGCUGUUUUGACGUUACCAACAGAAUAAGCACCGGCUAACUUCGUG